AUGUCAAGCAACAAGGAUGAGCUCGAGACACCACUUCUCAUGCCGGAGGAGGAGGAAGGUCCAACGGCACGGUUGCUGGACCAAGGAUCAGCGGACCCGACACCACGUCCACGGCUCCCGCCACCCAAGUUUGGGGAGGUCAUCACGGUGUUGAGCAUUAACAGCGGCGGGAUGCACGGGCUCAUCCCCACGGUCGUCCUCAAAUGCCUCGAGGAAAAGCUCCAAGCUAUUGACAGGGAAGAUGCCCGAAUAGCGGACUACUUCGACGUGAUUGCGGGCAUGAGCGCGGGCUCCAUGAUCGCGACAAUGUUGGUGUCGCCAAACACGAACAAACGGACAAAGUACACCCCUCAGGAAAUCCAGGAUUUCUAUGUCAAGAACGGACCUAAUAUCUUCCCUUCCAAGAGGUGGUGGCGGCGGCCGCUGGACCUGCUAAUCGCAUCGCGUGGGCCAAAGUACGACAGAACGUUCCUGCAGAAAAACAAGAUCAAGGAAGUCACGAGUGAGCGCACCCUGAGCAAGCUCGUGGCGCCUAUGUUCGACGCCAAUAUUCUCGAGCCUCUCAUCUUCUCCUCGUUCCAGGAUGCCGUGCAAGAACUAGUUGAAGAGGCCGGACCAGACAUGCCGAAUGUCUGCAUUGGCCCGCCGGCGACGGCCAUGCCAACCUACUUCCCAGCGCACUACUUCGAUAUCUGGGUCAGUGACAUGGAGCCGGCGAAAUACCACCUCAUCGACGGCGGCAACAACCCCACAAUGGCUGCCAUAUCCAAGAUCACCAGGGAGCAACUUCUCAAGAAUCCGGAGUUCCACCCCAGCGGCAUGGAUUAUAUGAAAUACCUCGUUAUCUCUGUAGGCGCAUGGUGUGCAGUGCACGAAAAUGUGCCAGCCAAGCAGGGCGCCUUCAACUGGUUUCACAGCAGGCGCAAUAGCCACAGCCCGGUCACUGACACCUCCUCGCAUGCCAGCGCCGUGUUGGCCGACUGGCAGGUUCGCAUGCUCUUACACAAUGGCAACCGCGUGCGGAAGCAGAACUACCUCUACAUCCAGGCUCUGGCACCAUUGUUCGGGGAGGCCAUUUUGCCAAUGGACAACGCGACGUCAAAGAACAUGGCUGACCUGCUCGACAUUGGCUACAAGUUGCUGGCCGAGAAGGUGGCUAUGGUGGACUUGACCACGGGGAAGUACGAGACCGUCGAGGACGAGAAUGCACCCACCAAUGAUGCAGAGCUCCAGCGCUUCUCCGAGCUUCUAGUCGCCGAGCGCAAUCUGCGCCUUAAGGAACAACAACGACAACGACAAGGAGAAGAACAAAAUGGGGUUCAUUUGCUUAACAUUAUUGAAUAA
This 1344-nucleotide ribosomal RNA is filed under the name Triticum aestivum (bread wheat). RNAcentral's name for it is "partial small subunit ribosomal RNA". The record is from RNAcentral. Lineage: Eukaryota; Viridiplantae; Streptophyta; Magnoliopsida; Poales; Poaceae.